GGAGAGGUGGCCGAGUGGUCGAAGGCGCACGCCUGGAAAGUGUGUAGACGGCAACGUCUCCAGGGUUCGAAUCCCUGUCUCUCCG
Molecule: transfer RNA, 85 nt
Filed under: Hyphomonas neptunium ATCC 15444
Lineage: Bacteria; Pseudomonadati; Pseudomonadota; Alphaproteobacteria; Hyphomonadales; Hyphomonadaceae
Rfam family: tRNA
About the family: Transfer RNA (tRNA) molecules are approximately 80 nucleotides in length. Their secondary structure includes four short double-helical elements and three loops (D, anti-codon, and T loops).
Source: Rfam by way of RNAcentral